Macaca nemestrina (pig-tailed macaque) is the source of this 109-nucleotide microRNA precursor. The record is from Ensembl. NCBI's taxonomy places the organism in Eukaryota, Metazoa, Chordata, Mammalia, Primates, Cercopithecidae.
UCUACCAGGUGUGGACCCGGCCUUACAGAGUUCAUUCCGAGGCUGGGAUUUCAUGCAGAAAACUAGUUGCAAAAGCUGCUGAAGGGGCUGGGGGAGCACAAGGGAGAAG